Molecule: transfer RNA, 71 nt
Filed under: Muraenolepis orangiensis (Patagonian moray cod)
Lineage: Eukaryota; Metazoa; Chordata; Actinopteri; Gadiformes; Muraenolepididae
Rfam family: tRNA
About the family: Transfer RNA (tRNA) molecules are approximately 80 nucleotides in length. Their secondary structure includes four short double-helical elements and three loops (D, anti-codon, and T loops).
Source: Rfam by way of RNAcentral
UAGAAAAUGGUGUAGAGGAAGCACUAGGAGUUUUGAUCUCCUGGGGGGGGGUUCGAAACCCCUUUUUCUAA